Molecule: long non-coding RNA, 307 nt
Organism: Micropterus salmoides (largemouth bass)
Lineage: Eukaryota; Metazoa; Chordata; Actinopteri; Centrarchiformes; Centrarchidae
Exons: 3
Source: RefSeq, a predicted model, not a curated record
GAUCCAGAAGGUCAAAGUGCACCUCCAAAGAAGACACACUACUCAGUGGUUCUACGAGGCAUAUAGACAAAACAGGGAAAGGUACGCUCUUUGCUCUGGGCCUAAAAAUAAAUGUUGCAGAUGACUCAGGAGCAACUGUAGUCCCCGUUUAUGGAGACAAAACUGCAGCACUAGGAAGGAAUGUGUUUCUGUGCCACUGAAGAUGAAGCUGUGAUGUGGCUCUGUGGAUAAGAGCAGGUACUCACGUCUCUUCUCCGUGAUGUGCAGCAGGCUAGCAGUGUGCCCCGACAGGCCACCCUCCUCCCCU